RNAcentral lists this long non-coding RNA (1359 nucleotides) under Mus musculus (house mouse). RNAcentral's name for it is "long non-coding RNA chr3:67308261-67309620". Lineage: Eukaryota; Metazoa; Chordata; Mammalia; Rodentia; Muridae. The record is from RNAcentral.
UAAUCAAUUUCAUGAUCUUAUAAGGAAGUUGCAGUGUUCUGCCUUAGAUUUCUGCCUUAUUAUCGUUUUCUUGCUUUUAAGGAGCAGUCCAUUCUCUUAAAAGAGCCUUUGGACUUUUCAACAGAUGGAAGUUUAUCUUGGAUCAAAACAAAGCUUCUGUUUCAAUGUAUUCCUGCCUGAAGGCAGGAAACUGGACCAGAAGACAUCAUGCAGGCCCCUUGACAGACCUGUGUUUUGUUUGUAAAUCUCACUGCUGUUUAGUAACUGAAAUAGAAGGAUCUCCGAGUACCAUCAAAGCAGCAGAGCCGCUAUUGACAUGCUUUGUAAGUUAUUUUUGCUCUCGUAUUGCAAAGGUAGCCUUAGAAGUAUAGGAAGCAGUGUAAUACUUUAAAGUUAUUGCUUCCCAGCCCAUGAGAAAAAGUUCUUAUUUCUUUACUUUGUAGCGAUGGUGCACCUGCAUCGUUGUUACUGUAAUUGUAUUGCCAAAUCAGGUAUGAGAUUAGUUGUUGGAUGUUACAUGUAAUCUGCACAGAAAUCAAAUUAUUUAACCUCGAAGCCCACAAUACCUCCUCCUGCUGGUUUGCUGUUAAAUAUUCAGUAUUUUCUUGUCAUGAAUACAAAUGGAGGACAAAUUAGAAUCUACAGACAGCUGACCUGAGCUUCAGAUUAGAGGCUGAGGGGCUUGUGCUGUUUUAAAUGUUUUAAUUAUCAUAGUCCCAGUAGCCAGUUGAAGGACACACAUAAAAUCAUUUUUUAACAAAAGAAAAGGCAAAGCUCCUCCUCCUCCUCCUCCUCCUCCUCCUCCUCCUCCUCCUCCUCCUCCUCCUCCUCCUCCCCGAGCAAGUGUUUGAGUAUAAUUGUGUUGCACUUCCAUUAGAGCGAUGUGAAUCUGCUGCAUGGAAUUAGGUCUAUUAGGACGAGUCAUGUUUAAACACCAAAUAUAUCCAGGAAUAUUUUUUUCGUGGUGUGCAUUUGCCUUGUCGGAAGGAUGAUGUAUCGUCCUCAUUUUAUUUUGGACACUGAAUCUGUUUGUGUGUGUGUAUGUGAAGUUUAAUUUAGACAACAGAUCUGGUAGCUUACAUUGAAUGUGGUGAAAUUGUGUGGAAUGAUGGACUGAUUUAUACGUAAUAGCAUAUAUUUACAUUGAGGAAGAAUGAACCCAGAUGAAAUAAGCUACAGAGAAUUGUCCUAGGAAUAAAAAUACUUAACAUAUGCUAGCUUGAAUUUUAUUAAAUAAAUAAAAUUUUAUAGCAUAAUCAAAACUUUCACCAUUUAAAGUAAUGAGGAGGAUAUAAUGUAAUUAAAAUGCUAUGUUAGUUGAUAAAAUAUUAAUGGAUAGUUAUAGAACAAAACAAUUUU